This 726-nucleotide ribosomal RNA is filed under the name Triticum aestivum (bread wheat). Its description in RNAcentral is "partial small subunit ribosomal RNA". The record is from RNAcentral. Lineage: Eukaryota; Viridiplantae; Streptophyta; Magnoliopsida; Poales; Poaceae.
AUGAAUGACAAAAUCAUGAACUUCAUGUCAUGGAAUGUCAGGGGGCUGAACUGCCCUGCAAAGCGCACUGCGAUCAACGGCAUGGCCACCGCGCAUAGAUUAGCAAUGCUGUGUCUGCAGGAGACCAAAAUAGAGGUGUGGUCGACGGCAAUGGCCAGGGAGAUUGGUGGCUCCUUGCUGCAAGGCUGUGUCAUCCUUCCAGCGGUAGGUACUAGAGGGGGUGCGGCCAUCUUCUGGGACGAAACAGUAGUCGACGUAGUUUCUCAUAGCAUAGGAAGGUUCUCCAUUACGGCUAGGGUUCUUGAACUUCACUCAGGGCUGCACUUCUGGAUCACCACGGUGUAUGGCCCAACAGAUGAUUCCCAGAAGGAUAGCUUCUUGGCUGAAAUCGCUGCGACAACUCCAUCUACGGUAGAUCCAUGGAUGAUCAAUGGCGAUUUUAACAUGAUCUACCAGGCUGCAGACAAGAACAAUGCCAAUAUAAACAGAAGAAUGAUUGGAAAGUUCAGAAGGGCCAUAGAUCAAGCUGGGCUGAGGGAGAUAAAAUGCAAAAACCGCCGUUUUACUUGGAGCAACGAAAGAGAAGUGCCAACACUUUGCAGCAUUGACAAAGUUUUCUGCAACGAGCACUGGGAAGAAAUGCACCCUGAUCACAUUCUAGUGGCUGCUUCUACAUCAUUUUUGGAUCAUUGCCCGCUCUAUCUGAUAGCCGCAAGCAAGCCAUGA